GAAAUGCGAUACGUAAUGUGAAUUGCAAUUUUUAGUGAACCAUCGAAUCUUUGAACGCACAUUGCGCCCUCUGGUAUUCCGGGGGGCAUGCCUGUUCGAGCGUCAUUACAACCCUCAAGCCACGCUUGGAAUUGGAUCCAUAUCCCUCAUUGAGCGGGUUGAUCUCAAAGUUAUUGGCGGUGCCCAGUGUAGACUUGGAGCGUAGUAAUCUCGAUGCCGCUUUUCAAGUCACUUGGAUGCCUGCCUUAAGCACUAUUUUACCGGUUGACCUCGGAUCAGGUAGGGAUACCCGCUGAACUUAA
Molecule: unclassified non-coding RNA, 302 nt
Filed under: uncultured fungus
Lineage: Eukaryota; Fungi
Description: sequence contains ITS1
Rfam family: 5.8S ribosomal RNA (bases 1-105)
Source: RNAcentral